Molecule: ribosomal RNA, 500 nt
Filed under: uncultured Myrionecta
Lineage: Eukaryota; Ciliophora; Litostomatea; Cyclotrichida; Mesodiniidae
Description: bacterial SSU rRNA
Rfam family: Eukaryotic small subunit ribosomal RNA
Source: RNAcentral
UACCAGGUCAAGACAUGGGCGUGAUUGACAGGCUAAUGACUUUUCUCGGUUCCAUGGAUGGUGGUGCAUGGUCGCACUUAGUUGGUGCAGUGAUUUGUCAGGUUUAUUCCGGUAACGAACGAGACCUCGGCCUUGUAAAUAGCUAUGCUGCUUACAGGGACAUUGGCGGCUACGCCAAGGAAGCUCGAGGCAAUUGCAGAUCUGGAAUGCCCUUAGAUGUCCUGGGUCGCACGCGUGCUACAAUGACGCCACGAACGAGCUUGCGUGAUGAAAGUUACGCAUAAUCAGCAGUCGGCGUCUUAAGGGAUAGUCUCUUGUAACUGUGGGACUCCAACUAGGAAUGUCUCGUAAGCACAAGUCAACAUCUUGUGUUGAUUACGUCCCUGCUCUUUGUACACACCGCCCGUCGCUCCUACCGAUCGAGUGUUUAGGUGAAUUUGAUGGACGUAAGGAAGUCAAAUAAACCUGAGCACUAGAGAAGAGAAGUCAAGAAUGCCAAU